This is a long non-coding RNA of Gallus gallus (chicken), 1081 nucleotides long. Lineage: Eukaryota; Metazoa; Chordata; Aves; Galliformes; Phasianidae. The record is from Ensembl.
GAUCUCCAGUGGUCCUUUCCAACCCUUACAAUUCUGCAAUUCUGCGUUCAGAGACAGGAAGAAGACGACAAUGACCACAUCCUGAAGUUGAGUUUUCUUGGCUUCACACGUUUCAAUGCUCAGCCCCAAAACAUGGAGGGAGCUCAGGAUGCCACAACACCCUCCUCUGAGCAUGGGAGCAGGCUCUGCAAUUUGGUGGUCUGGAGCUCAGCUCUUGGAGUCCGGCAGGGUCAACCAGCACCAUUGCUGGUCAUCGGCUUAGAAUCAUAGAAUCAUUGAGGCCACAACACCAAGAAACCUCUGAAAGGGCUCCAAUGAAAAACAAAUCCAACUGAAGGAGCCAACAGAUGGAAAGCAUCUUCAUUAGAGACCACAAACUCUGGUAUUCCAGGAGGCCAGGACCUCCCAAACCAACACACAGCUUCAACCCGAGGGUUAGCCAGAAAAAAAAGAUGUUCCAUCAUAGAAGGUUGGAAAAGACUUCUAAAAUCAUCUAGUCCAACCAUCAACCCAUCUUCAGUCCACAUUUGAUCUGUUUCUUACAGCCUUUCCCUUGACAUACAGCCACGCACAGUGUGGGGUAUAUGGCAAGAUGGAGCACUAUAGUUGCUCUUACAUUUCAGGAGCACCCAAAAAGAACAUCUGUGGCUGCUUGGGUUUGCUCAAUGCAACCGACCACCACCAUCACACAAAAGCACAUCCAAAAAACAACGUUUCCCUACUGAGCAAAAUGAAUCCGUGUAGUCAUAAUUAGACAAAUAUUGUUAAAGGAAAAGCUAUACGUGAAUGUAGACUAAACAUAGCCCUUAUGCCAGAUAAAACUGUGUUCAUUACACUGAAAGAGGAACUGUUCAUGCCAUAACAAAUGGUCAAACAUGAUAUUUCAGAACAAAUAUACAUAUGUACUCCAUCUAUAUUUAUAAUGCUGAGAAAGCAUAUAAAUGCCUGAUCCAGCUUCCAACGCAGUCGCAAGAAAGACAAGCACUGACUUUACUGAGUGUUGGAGGAGGACAUGAAAUGGUAACAUGACCUGGAGGACACAGGUAAGGUCAGCUGGAUGCUGGUCUUAAACCAUUAAAAA